Molecule: transfer RNA, 71 nt
Filed under: Crassvirales sp.
Lineage: Duplodnaviria; Heunggongvirae; Uroviricota; Caudoviricetes; Crassvirales
Description: tRNA-Gln
Rfam family: tRNA
About the family: Transfer RNA (tRNA) molecules are approximately 80 nucleotides in length. Their secondary structure includes four short double-helical elements and three loops (D, anti-codon, and T loops).
Source: RNAcentral
UGGAGUAUCGUAUAAUGGUAGUACAGAAGAUUUUGGUUCUUCUAGCAUAGGUUCGAUUCCUAUUACUCCAA